RNAcentral lists this ribosomal RNA (487 nucleotides) under uncultured bacterium. RNAcentral describes it as "partial 16S ribosomal RNA". It matches the Rfam family "Bacterial small subunit ribosomal RNA", at positions 28 to 523 of the family's 1533-position model. The record is from RNAcentral.
GAUGAACGCUGGCGGCGUGCUUAACACAUGCAAGUCGAACGAAGCACUUUUGAUUCUUCGGAAGAGGAAGUGACUGAGUGGCGGACGGGUGAGUAACGCGUGGGUAACCUGCCUUAUACAGGGGGAUAACAGUUAGAAAUGACUGCUAAUACCGCAUAAGCCGAUAGAGUCGCAUGUCUUAGUCGGAAAAGAUUUAUCGGUAUAAGAUGGACCCGCGUCUGAUUAGCUAGUUGGUGAGGUAAUGGCCCACCAAGGCGACGAUCAGUAGCCGGCUUGAGAGAAUGAACGGCCACAUGGGGACUGAGACACGGCCCAAACUCCUACGGGAGGCAGCAGUGGGGAAUAUUGCACAAUGGGGGAAACCCUGAUGCAGCAACGCCGCGUGAAGGAAGAAGUAUUUCGGUAUGUAAACUUCUAUCAGCAGGGAAGAAAAUGACGGUACCUGACUAAGAAGCCCCGGCUAACUACGUGCCAGCCGCCGCCGUAA